This 73-nucleotide transfer RNA is filed under the name Spinacia oleracea (spinach). It matches the Rfam family "tRNA". Rfam says of the family: Transfer RNA (tRNA) molecules are approximately 80 nucleotides in length. Their secondary structure includes four short double-helical elements and three loops (D, anti-codon, and T loops). Further hydrogen bonds mediate the characteristic L-shaped molecular structure. tRNAs have two regions of fundamental functional importance: the anti-codon, which is responsible for specific mRNA codon recognition, and the 3' end, to which the tRNAs corresponding amino acid is attached (by aminoacyl-tRNA synthetases). tRNAs cope with the degeneracy of the genetic code in two manners: having more than one tRNA (with a specific anti-codon) for a particular amino acid; and 'wobble' base-pairing, i.e. permitting non-standard base-pairing at the 3rd anti-codon position. The record is from Rfam by way of RNAcentral. Lineage: Eukaryota; Viridiplantae; Streptophyta; Magnoliopsida; Caryophyllales; Amaranthaceae.
AACCUAUUAGCUCAAAUGGUAGAGCCACUAUGCAGAUGCAUAGGGGAUGUAGGUUCGAUUCCUACAUAGGUUG